Molecule: long non-coding RNA, 161 nt
Organism: Bradysia coprophila
Lineage: Eukaryota; Metazoa; Arthropoda; Insecta; Diptera; Sciaridae
Source: RefSeq, a predicted model, not a curated record
UGUGGCCAUAUAGAUCAAAGUGUAGAAAUAAAAAAGUUCGGCUAUACAUAGUGUCGCGCCCAAAAGCAUUUCUUCGUUUGUUUUUUUUUCUUACAGAAGGGGCUAGCGCCACGGACUCCGCUACCGAUCCGUCCAAUAUGAGAGUCUGAUAACUGAUAGCC